RNAcentral lists this unclassified non-coding RNA (405 nucleotides) under Hevea brasiliensis (rubber tree). The record is from RNAcentral. Lineage: Eukaryota; Viridiplantae; Streptophyta; Magnoliopsida; Malpighiales; Euphorbiaceae.
GCUACAAGAUCAACAAUUCCAUAAGCUUGGGCUUCGGUUGCUGACAUAAAAACAUCUCUUUCCAUGUCUUCGGAUACAACCCAUAAGGGUUUGCCCGUUCUUUGUGCAUAAAUCCUUGUGAGGAUUUCGCGCAGUUUCAGUAGUUCUUCCGCUUCCAGGACAAAUUCUCCUAUUUGUGCCUCAUAAAAACCAGCAAUAGGUUGAUGAAUCAUUACCCUAGCAUGAGGGAAUGCUAAACGUUUGGUAAUUUUUCCUCCGACCAGAAUAAAAGAUCCCAUUGAAGCAGCUAAUCCCAUGCAUACUGUUUGUACAUCGGGUCGCACAAAUUGCAUAGUAUCAUAAAUAGCUAUUCCGGGUAUUACCCAUCCGCCGGGAGAGUUUAUAAACAAAUACAAAUCUUUUGUC